This 253-nucleotide ribosomal RNA is filed under the name uncultured bacterium. RNAcentral's name for it is "partial 16S ribosomal RNA". It matches the Rfam family "Bacterial small subunit ribosomal RNA", at positions 524 to 776 of the family's 1533-position model. The record is from RNAcentral.
UACGAAGGGGGCUAGCGUUGUUCGGAAUUACUGGGCGUAAAGCGCGCGCAGGCGGUUUCUCAAGUCAGUGGUGAAAGCCCGGAGCUCAACUCCGGAACUGCCAUUGAAACUGUGAAACUUGAGGACGAGAGAGGUGAGUGGAAUUCCCAGUGUAGAGGUGAAAUUCGUAGAUAUUGGGAAGAACACCGGUGGCGAAGGCGGCGACCUGGUCCGAUACUGACGCUGAGGCGCGAAAGCGUGGGGAGCAAACAGG